Molecule: unclassified non-coding RNA, 934 nt
Filed under: Hevea brasiliensis (rubber tree)
Lineage: Eukaryota; Viridiplantae; Streptophyta; Magnoliopsida; Malpighiales; Euphorbiaceae
Source: RNAcentral
ACGCCGCAGGGGUAUAAGGAUUGGCAAAGUGGAACUUGUAUAUGUACGGUACUGUCAUUUCGGGUACACCGACGAAUGUCGAACCUGUCCAGUUGCCUGUGCUCCAGUAACUGACACUUGCAUUAUAUAAAAGAUCAAAUUCGUUGUGCCCUCGGCUUAGCCUGAGAGAGUAUAACCCAGGUGAUGGGUCGGCUAAGCUCCGCCAAGAGGUUAAAGAUCGCUCUUUGGUGAUGUUCAUGCCAGGCAGCCAAGUGUCUGUUGGGUAAUCGAAACUUUGCCACAAGAGUGACCGGUUGGCUGAUAGUAGGACCAGAUUUCCAUCGUUUAGAAAGCGAAAAUCCGUUGCUGGCUCAUUGUUUGCGCUCUGCCAAAUGAUAGAAUUUGGCGACUCUAUUAUCGCCAGUUUGCCAGUUUCAGUGAUUUGUAGUGUGGAAGAGGCAAGAUUGGUGACUGGUGUUUCGCGAUUUGCUACCCAGACAUAAGUUGGAGUCGGGGUUGAUGCGUACCAAAUGCCCAGAUACCAUUUUGAACCUUCAUUUGGGCUGAAAAAGCCAAGCUGAAAAGUGUGGUUUUCGCUUGAAAUUGUGAGGUUUCCGCUGAUUAUAACAUUGGUAGACUCCAAUUUGUCGCUGAUGCUCUGUCCGGUAUAGUCUGCUAGUAAAUUUAAUGGCUUUUGGGUGGUGAAAGCCAAAUUUGAGGAAAUGGGCAAUCUGUUGCUGGGACUGUGUGUAAAUCUAGAGGUGGAAAAGCUAUCAUUAGUUCGAAAUUUGGCAACAAACGAAGCAUUGGAAGCUCCUACCAGAAGGUAGAAGAAGAAAUAAAUAGAAAUCAUGACGGAAUAAGCAUUGGGUAGUGACCUUUCAACGAGUUUAAUCAGAAAUGAUUCAGUUUGAUUUGCAAAGAGGAAAAGGGUAAAAGAAUAAACAGAGCAUCU